Molecule: ribosomal RNA, 217 nt
Filed under: Campeiostachys nutans
Lineage: Eukaryota; Viridiplantae; Streptophyta; Magnoliopsida; Poales; Poaceae
Description: Elymus nutans partial small subunit ribosomal RNA
Rfam family: Eukaryotic small subunit ribosomal RNA (bases 38-217)
Source: RNAcentral
GGAUCAAUUUGCUGGUCGUGCCUUUGGUACGUACUGGUAUUAUAGGUUUCUCCUUUCUGAAGAACUACGAUGUCAUUAAUUUGGUGUCGUGGGAAAUCAGGACUGUUACUUUGAAAAAAUUAGAGUGUUUAAAGCAGACUAUCGUCUGAAUACAUUAGCAUGGAAUAAUGAAAUAGGACGGACUGAUUCUAUUUCGUUGGUUUCUAGGAUCACCGUA